RNAcentral lists this ribosomal RNA (253 nucleotides) under uncultured bacterium. RNAcentral's name for it is "partial 16S ribosomal RNA". It matches the Rfam family "Bacterial small subunit ribosomal RNA", at positions 524 to 776 of the family's 1533-position model. The record is from RNAcentral.
UACGAAGGGGACUAGCGUUGUUCGGAAUCACUGGGCGUAAAGCGCACGUAGGCGGAUUCGUAAGUCAGGGGUGAAAUCCCGGGGCUCAACCUCGGAACUGCCUUUGAUACUGCGGGUCUUGAGUCCGAUAGAGGUGGGUGGAAUUCCUAGUGUAGAGGUGAAAUUCGUAGAUAUUAGGAAGAACACCGGUGGCGAAGGCGGCCCACUGGAUCGGUACUGACGCUGAGGUGCGAACGCGUGGGGAGCAAACAGG